GUGGACAGGUAAAUGACACGAUUCAAUUUUUUGUGCUAAAAGUAGCUCGGCCAAGAGAGGAGGUGCUGGGUCGCGGGGGAAAAACAAAAAGGAGACUCCGAUCCCAAUGGCGGCCGCCGCAGGAGGGGCCGCGAGCACGGGAGAGGUAGGGCGGGCUCGAGGUGGAGGACGGAGUAGAGAUCGCUAGAAGAGUUAGAUCUGGAGCCCUCGUGCGUGGCCGAUGGAGAUCGAGCAGGAGGUGGUGCGAACGCGAACGCACAAACUACCCGUGUCCGACGAGGUGGAGGUGCGUGCCUGCUGUUCGUGCCGCCGGGACUCUUUCCACGAGAGCGGGGGAAAAGAGGAAGACCAAUACUCGUAUCACGUAUCCUUCGGACAUCAUACAUAGACCGCUCCACGUCACACCUCCGUCGCCUUGUUCGUAGUAUAUAUGUUAUUAUGUUUGCUGAAUUUAGGAAGUUCUUCGCAAAGACGCAAGACGAUGAGAACCAAAGAGUAUUAGCGAGUUUCACUUCUCCAACAAGCAUCAAAGACUUAGAACUUUUGACAACCCAUGUCCAUAGUGACUAUACCCUCGAGGGCAACGUAUAAACGCUGAAGAGCCUUCUUCGGACACUUGUAUAGCAGAGACUUAUUCGGGCGGUUUGGGGACUGUGUCCACAACAUAAGACUUGUAAAGGAGCCGUUUAACCCCGUCGAACAGCUUGUUGGGUGCGUGUCGUUUUAGACUUUUAGGAGACUUAGUUUACCCGGGACCUAAUGGUUUCAACAAACCAACGUGGUACGUUUUAUUAGGGAUAUUUUUUAGGAUGUUCUAAACUACGAUGUUUAGUUCUCUUUAUACUGUAACGAAUCACACUCCACGAAUGUUUCAUGAAAAGCGGCACCACAAAUAACUUUAUAAACCCAUUACGUCAAAAUACUAUAACACACCGAAUCGGAAACAAGUCCUUAUCUCGCACCCUUGUUAUAGAAACCAACAUCGGAGAGGGUACCUCAAACCGGACGAGCCGCGUAACAAACCAGAGGUCGGAGAGGGACUGAGAAAGAAGAGGGUCACUGAAGAGGAAAAUGGUUAUGGGCUAUGAACGUAGUGAAUUAAGUAACAACAUGUUGAAGUAAACGAAACACCGUCGUCUCCUUUCCCCCUCUUUUACGCAGGUAACAUGGUGCGAACUGGAAACUCAUUGUAAACAAACUACCCUCUUAAACUACAUACAAGACUUCGAGCACCAUCAAGUAGUUAGAACGUUCUCCUUGACUCCUUUUAGAAUAAGUUGUGUUGUCCUCCCCUUGGCCGACACCAUCAAAAUCCUUAGCCCUACUAGCGGCAUACAAUCUAGAGAUAGAGAAGGUCCGUUACUAGUCUACGUGUUGUACCUUAGUCCUACUAGCAGCAUACUAUCUAGUAAAGGCCCGUUCCUAGCCUGCGUAUUGUACCAUACAUGUACGUUACCUUAACAAUGUAUCUCCAUGCGUAAAACUAGAAGAUUAUACGUGACGACAGUAUUUCCAAUACUAACAACAAAGUCUAUGUGUGUGUGUUUUUACAAGGUACCAAUUAAAACAUCUCCCUUUUUUUAACUCCUGAAUUUCAAAACAAGACAGACUAACAACUGUACGGUUACCUUCACGAACUAACAGAAUUCGAUCUUAAGAAUACCAAACAAAGAAUCACCCGAACAAAACAAAAUAAAAGGUUUGUGGGAUACUAAAAUAGGAUUAGGGUUUAACGACUCCGUUCUAUUCUUAUUCCCCUUAGGUUCGGAUUAAGAACAUAUAUCAUCAUUGUGUGGUAUACAUGUGACUUCAUGAUAAAUACAAGAAGGACUACUUAGGUACCUAAUAGUGUAAGACUUUGGUAAACUACGUCGUUUAUACAUCAAGGGGGUCUACAAGACCAUAGACCUUACUCGAACUACACAAGGCUGUAUCGAGUCAAAUACUGCUUCGGUAGCUUGUCUUUAUAGUUCAAGCCUUUCUCAAAGCUCGCCGCUUUGGUCAGAGAGAGAGGG
This 2015-nucleotide ribosomal RNA is filed under the name Triticum aestivum (bread wheat). RNAcentral's name for it is "partial small subunit ribosomal RNA". Lineage: Eukaryota; Viridiplantae; Streptophyta; Magnoliopsida; Poales; Poaceae. The record is from RNAcentral.